RNAcentral lists this ribosomal RNA (416 nucleotides) under uncultured bacterium. Its description in RNAcentral is "bacterial SSU rRNA". It matches the Rfam family "Bacterial small subunit ribosomal RNA", at positions 99 to 517 of the family's 1533-position model. The record is from RNAcentral.
CGAACGGGCGAGUACCACGUGGGCAACCUGCCCCAGACCCCUGGGAUAACCCCGGGAAACCGGAGCUAAUACCUGGAUACUCUCGGCGGACCGCAUGAUCUGCCGAGGAAAGCUUUCGCGGUCUGGGAUGGGCCCGCGGCCUAUCAGCUUGUUGGUGAGGUAACGGCCCACCAAGGCUGACGACGGGUAGCUGGUCUGAGAGGACGGCCAGCCACACUGGGACUGAGACACGGUCCAGACUCCAUACGGGAGGCAAGCAGUGGGGAAUCUUGCGCAAUGGGCGAAAGCCUGACGCAGCGACGCCGCGUUGGGGGAUGAAGGCCCUCGGGGUUGUAAACCCCUUUUCGGCAGGGACGGAAGCCGCAAGGUGACGGUACCUGCAGAAGAAGCUCCGGCUAACUACGUGCCAGCAGCCG